CCUUAAUAUACAUGACACUAAUUAGAGUGGCUCUCCGAGUAUUGCUGUAAUUAAAACGCCCCCACUCCACCCCGAGUAUGUGUAUAGUCACCCAUAGUGCUGAGUUAAGAUAUUCACUGGAUGUCUGGAUCCCUGAAAAUGAUUAGCUUUUUUGAGUUGAGAAAUGCCUUGAGACUUUAAAAAGGUGAAGUCAUGCUGUGAGUAAUGUACUGAAGAAUGAUUGUCGAAAGACUGAAUCACCAGUCUCCUUCAACUAAUUGUUGCUGCUGAAACUCUCAGCCCUGUUCACCAUUCUCCUAAAUUUGCUUUGGGCAAUCAAGAACUUUCUCAUCUGUUCCCGCUGCUGCUCCAUUCCUUUGGGGGGACAGAUUCAAACCAGGAUCAGCUAAGCCAUAGUACACACCCCAUUGCUGAUUUACUCGGUUUUUGCUUUCGGAUCUGGAUUAAGCUCACCAGUCUGAAGGAAGGGAACAACAUUUAAUGAGGAGGCCAGUAAUAUGAAGGAACUGUGGCCCUGUUUCCUUUCUCUCUCUCUCUCUAUGGUGGAUUUCAUUCAAAAGAAAAUUGAAGCUGGCAAGAUACUGUUUUUCCCUGCAAUUAUUUAAAACCUUGCACGCAUUUGGAUACCUUGUGAUUUCGGAGAACUAUGUGAAGAUUAAGCUUUUGCUUACUGAUACAUGGCAUGUACUCUUUUCAGUCUUUUGUGUUUGAUUUUGUUUGAUUUUCCACAGCAGUGUAACAUCUUUGUAAGGAUUUUUAUGCUUUCACCAGCAAUGUCUUAAAUACAUUAAGACAACACAUUUGGUGUUCACACUACUUCAGUAAUGUCUGUACAUAAAAAAAAUAGUGGCAUAAAAGAAUGUGUGUUUUCUUUGAGAGUUGUGCAUAUUUUGCAACCUACAGGAAGACUAUUUCUAGCUAGUGCAAGCCCAAUGUGAUGGAUUGAUUGACAAUUACAGUACCAUGCCACUAUGCCUAAAAUGUCCCAUCCAUUACCCCCCCCCCCCAGAGCAUUCAGAUCCAUUUUUUAAACAUGGCAAUAAUUGCAUGUUUAUUUAGAAACUCAGAAUUUAGUUACUCUGCUUAGACUGUGUAGCAUGUCAGUUUUCAAAAUAGGCCUGCAUUGAAAACAAACAUGCAUACACACACAAAAAUUACAAGACACUGUAUCCUGACAGAUACAGUGACACAUUUCUUAUCCUUUUAGUUCCAUUAAGAAUACAGAGUAUUCAUUAAUGUUUUGGGGCCUUGACUACAUCUUUUACUUUUUCCAAACUAUUUUCCUUCUGGAAUAUUUUCUGAAAUAGAUGACAAGGAGAGGAUGAAAGAGAACUGAACUGGCUUUAGGGCAACUUAGAACAACUGCUUGGAUGUAGAAACAGUAUGUGCUGAAUGAGCCAUUACAACUAGCUUUGUUUUCUGCUUCUUAAAAAGCACACUGAAAAGUCAUCCGAAUCCAAGACAUUUGCUGUUUUCCAUCAGUGUACCUUUCCUUAGACAUUCUGCGCUAGAAAACGCUUAAUUGCUUUUUUCUUAAUAAAACAUUUAAAUGCACACUUUGCA
RNAcentral lists this long non-coding RNA (1563 nucleotides) under Crocodylus porosus (Australian saltwater crocodile). RNAcentral's name for it is "lncRNA (ENSCPRG00005012513.1)". Lineage: Eukaryota; Metazoa; Chordata; Crocodylia; Crocodylidae. The record is from RNAcentral.